This is a long non-coding RNA of Terrapene triunguis (Three-toed box turtle), 1506 nucleotides long. RefSeq lists it as uncharacterized. NCBI's taxonomy places the organism in Eukaryota, Metazoa, Chordata, Testudines, Emydidae. The record is from RefSeq and is a predicted model, not a curated record. The transcript has 4 exons.
GUAAAACUCUGUUCUUUACUUUUUUCCCCCUUGCAGUUUUGAUCUUACUAACUUCAUAAAAGAAGUACAAAUUAAAAAUGGAAACAAACUUUCAGGAUUGAGCUCAGAUGAAAUCCUUACCCGAGUGACAGAACUCAUUCUGGACCAUCAAAAUAAGAAAAAGGCUCCAACCUCAGCAAAGAGAACCAAAAAGCCAGCAUCCUGCGUUGUAACUCAGACUCUGAAAGUAGCCAAGUCUGCCGUGGGAAAUGUGUCUAGCCUAUCCAAGGCAAGGCCAUCCUAUAAAACUGUUGCAAACAAAACAACUCAGCCAUCACAGCCAACCCACCAGCCGUGGAGACUUGUUGGAGGACCAUCACAAUCAAAAUGGAUAAAAUCAAAUGAUUCUACUACAUCUGAUGAUGACCCCUGCAUAAUAUGCCAUGAAGAGCUAAGCCAGGAAGAUAUGUGUGUGCUAGAAUGUGGACACAGUUUUCACAGACGGUGUAUUGGAACCUGGCUUAAAACACAAAGUACAUGCCCAACAUGUCGAGUUCAUGCUCUGUUACCUGAAGAUUUCCCUAAGCUUCCUGGACGAAACCGACAUGCUUAAAUUUUGCCUUAUUAAUAUUCAGAUUAGCAAGAAGAUGCAAUUCAUAUUAGUAGCUGCAAAUAAAUAAUCUUGGUAACAAAUGUGUAUGUGUAAUGUGCUGCCUAGAAACAUAAGCGAAAUCCUGGCUCUGUUGAAGUCAAUGAAGCCAGAAUUUCACUGAGUGUUCUAGAUCAUGAGAAAUAAAUAUUAUCAUUUUUAUUCCAAUUAAAAUUUAGAAGAAAAAAAAUCAAACCAGUUAAUUUUUAAUACUGAAAAUGCUAGCUUUUUUUCCGAUUACUGGCCAAAUGGAUGUGUAUAUUAACACACCAUAGGCUAUCUUGAAGAGGAUUUUAUGUAUUAUCCGUUUCGUAUAUUUAAACUGAACAAAAUGUAUAUCCCAAAUGUAUCAGGGUAAAACAUGGGGUAUUUUUUUAUUUUAAAGGGAUACCUAAGCCACGUAGGCCACCAAAUAUACCUUCCUCUAGGGAAGGCCUAUGUGCUUCAUCCCUGGAAGAUGAAGAGUGAUCUCUCUUGAGAAUUCAAGCAAAAGGUUAGAUAAUUACAUAAACAGCUAUUAAGGAACAUAAUUUUUGGGACCUAAAUACUGUCCUUUUUUUGAAAGUUCUCUACCUUUAAAAGGUCCGAUCAGAUACUAUUUGACUCCAAAUUUAGCAUUUGUAAAAAUUUGUCAAUUAAAAAAAAAGACUUCAGCUGAUGUUUACAUGAAAAAGAAAUCAAAAUUCCAAUUAGUUCAUUUAAUUAACAUUCUCCUGCAAAGUUGGACCACAAACAUUACCGUGUUGCUUCAGUGUAAAAAAUAAAUACUAACUUUUUGUCAGCUUGGUCAGUCAAAAUAAAUUAAACUGCUUAAAUAAUGAAAAGUAGGAUCUUUUAAAACUUCAGUUUUAAUUAGCUGUGCUGUUUGUAAGUUUUUU